CAGGAUGAACGCUAGCUACAGGCUUAACACAUGCAAGUCGAGGGGCAGCAUUGGGAUAGCUUGCUAUUCAGAUGGCGACCGGCGCACGGGUGAGUAACGCGUAUCCAACCUCCUGCCAGUAGGGAACAGCCCGGCGAAAGUCGGAUUAAUGCCCUAUGUUCUUCAAUGCGGACAUCUAAGUUGAAGGAAAGAUUCAUCGCUGGCAGAUGGGGAUGCGUCCGAUUAGCUUGCCGGCGGGGUAACGGCCCACCGGGGCGACGAUCGGUAGGGGUUCUGAGAGGAAGGUCCCCCACACUGGUACUGAGACACGGACCAGACUCCUACGGGAGGCAGCAGUGAGGAAUAUUGGUCAAUGGGCGUAAGCCUGAACCAGCCAAGUAGCGUGCAGGGAACCGACGGCCCUACGGGUUGUAAACUGCUUUUAUGCGGAGAUAAAGUGCGGCACGUGUGCCGCUUUGCAGGUACCGCAUGAAUAAGGACCGGCUAAUUCCGUGCCAGCCGCUGC
RNAcentral lists this ribosomal RNA (505 nucleotides) under uncultured bacterium. RNAcentral describes it as "bacterial SSU rRNA". It matches the Rfam family "Bacterial small subunit ribosomal RNA", at positions 25 to 518 of the family's 1533-position model. The record is from RNAcentral.